GCGUAAGGGCAUAUCAAUAAGCGGAGGAUCUCUUGGUCAUUUAGAGGAAGUAAAAGUCGUAACAAGGUUUCCGUAGGUGAACCUGCGGAAGGAUCAUUACCUAUCAUCCAGUGUGGUCGCGGCCCCCGGGUUCUUCCCGGGCGGUAGAGGUAACACUCUCACGCGCCACGCGUUUGAAUCCUUUUUUUACGAGCACCUUUCGUUCUCCUUCGGUGGGGCAACCUGCCGUUGGAAUCAUACAAAAACCUUUUUUUGCAUCUAGCAUUACCUGUUCCGAUAACAAACAAUCGUUACAACUUUCAACAAUGGAUCUCUUGGCUCUGGCAUCGAUGAAGAACGCAGCGAAAUGCGAUAAGUAGUGUGAAUUGCAGAAUUCAGUGAAUCAUCGAAUCUUUGAACGCACAUUGCGCCCCUUGGUAUUCCAUGGGGCAUGCCUGUUCGAGCGUCAUCUACACCCUCAAGCUCUGCUUGGUGUUGGGCGUCUGUCCCGCCUCGGCGCGUGGACUCGCCCCAAAUUCAUUGGCAGCGGUCUUUGCCUCCUCUCGCGCAGCACAUUGCGCUUCUCGAGGUGUUUGCGGGGCCCGCGUCCACGAAGCAUCACCAGUCUUUGACCUCGGAUCAGGUAGGGAUACCCGCUGAACUUAAGCAUAUCAAUAGCCGGAGGAACUUGGUCAUUUAGGGGGAGUAAGGGGAGGAGCAUGGGAG
Molecule: ribosomal RNA, 705 nt
Filed under: uncultured Pleosporales
Lineage: Eukaryota; Fungi; Ascomycota; Dothideomycetes; Pleosporales
Description: eukaryotic LSU rRNA
Rfam family: 5.8S ribosomal RNA (bases 295-448)
Source: RNAcentral